AAGAAGCAGGGUGGUUAAAUUAGCGUGCUGGAAUCUUUUCAGUUUGUCGCAGAGUAGAAAAAUAAAAAAGGAAAAAAAAAAAGGGCUCAGUAAUUUAAAUUUGCUCUCAGUUCAGCCUGCAUCGCUGGGUCCCGCCCCUUCUUCCCGCUGGGUUCUACUACCUGCAAGGCUGGAACUGACAGCUACUGUGCAAACAAAAAAAAAGGCAACAAGCAUGCUGGGACCAUUCUGUCUGCUGUUUGGGGCUCACUUGUCCUGACAACUAAAAAUUAUCCGUGGAAAGAUGAGGGAGCUGUGGGCUCCCUUGGUACUGAAGCUAUCACAAGUCUGCAGAUCCCAUGCACCAUCUACAACUUGGCCUCCUGACCUCAAGUACUGUUUCAUAAUGGGAUGCAGCACCGGUUCUUCUAAUAAAGAUGGACUUUCCUUGGCUCUUUCUGCUACUCUGAGAGUGUCAUGAUAGUUGGCCUUGUCCCAUAGUUGGGAUGUGGUAGAUGUAGGAGUAAAAGGUACCACUCUACGUUCUUUGCCACUGGAUGAAAACAUGGAAGAGGGAUACUCCUGAUGGUAUGAUAGUGUUUAAUCUGCUAUUUGCUUGAUAGUCUUUGCAUUUUUAAAAAUAUUUCCCCUUAUCACCAUUCCUGCCUUACAUGUAGAAUCCCUUAAUGUCACGCAUGGGCUGUGUUAACGCACUCCACUAUCCACAAUCUGACUUUCAAAAGCUAAAUUAUUAGUGUAAAUUAAAUAAAUAUUUAAUCAUAUAAAUUGGCAAAUAUGUAACUGAAUAUCGGAUACAUGUACUCUCAUUGGAGGUUAUCAUAAAAACAAAUUAAAAAUGGAAAGGUCUGAGGAGGUGAAAUUCAAAAGGACAUAAUUUCCUUGAAUUAUAACCUUCACUGGGAUUAUUUCUUGUAUUACUGCUAUCAAUGAAUGCCUUUGCUCAGUUCCCACUAAUAGCUAAAGCAUGGAAAAUAAGGCAGGUCAAGCACUGAAGAAGCCAUGUUGACUUCCCAGGUAGUUAGGCAAUCAGCUGUAAUCAAACAGUGGUAAAUUACACCAACGUGCUAAUUAUGGUACUUUGUCACAGCAUAAGAUGCAAUAAAACCAACCCAUGCCUCAGU
Ictidomys tridecemlineatus (thirteen-lined ground squirrel) is the source of this 1121-nucleotide non-coding RNA. The record is from RefSeq and is a predicted model, not a curated record. Lineage: Eukaryota; Metazoa; Chordata; Mammalia; Rodentia; Sciuridae.